Molecule: ribosomal RNA, 394 nt
Filed under: uncultured marine bacterium
Lineage: Bacteria
Description: bacterial SSU rRNA
Rfam family: Bacterial small subunit ribosomal RNA
Source: RNAcentral
AGAGUUUGAUCCUGGCUCAGAACGAACGCUGGCGGCAGGCUUAACACAUGCAAGUCGAGCGCACUCUUCGGAGUGAGCGGCGGACGGGUUAGUAACGUGUGGGAACGUGCCCUUCUCUAAGGAAUAGCCUCUGGAAACGGAGAGUAAUACCUUAUACGCCCUUCGGGGGAAAGAUUUAUCGGAGAAGGAUCGGCCCGCAUUAGAUUAGAUAGUUGGUGGGGUAAUGGCCUACCAAGUCUACGAUCUAUAGCUGGUUUGAGAGGAUGAUCAGCAACACUGGGACUGAGACACGGCCCAGACUUCUACGGAAGGCAGCAGUGGGGAAUCUUGGACAAUGGGCGCAAGCCUGAUCCAGCCAUGCCGCGUGAGUGAUGAAGGCCUUAGGGUCGUAAAG